This 3515-nucleotide long non-coding RNA is filed under the name Sus scrofa (pig). RNAcentral describes it as "lncRNA (ENSSSCG00005007874.1)". Lineage: Eukaryota; Metazoa; Chordata; Mammalia; Artiodactyla; Suidae. The record is from RNAcentral.
UUUUUUUUUUUUUUUUUUCUUUUUAGGGCCGCAUGUAUGGCAUAUGGAAGUCCCUGGGCUAGGGGUUGAAUUGGAGCUGCAGCUGAGGCCUGCACCACAGCCACAACAACAUCAGAUCCAAGCUGCAUCUGUGACCCACGUUGCAGUUUGUGUCAACACCAGUUACUUAACCCACAGAGCUAGGACAGAGAUUGAACCCACAUCCUCACAUAUACUAUAUCGGGUUCUUAACCUGCUCAGCCACAAUGGAAAUUUCACAUUUUAUUUAAUUGUUUAAUAUAUCCUGUAAGGAAUUGAGGUGACUUAGUAAUUACAGUUUCAAAAUAUCAAGAAUAAGCUCUGGAAAUAUUCUCUGGGAUUCUGAUUUCAAUUCCAGGGUAUAGAGCAGAACACUUGUUUCUUUGUUUUGUUUCGAUUUGUUUUGUUUUUUAUUACUCAAAUGAAUUUAUCACAUCUGUAGUUGUAUAAUGAUCAUUACAAUCCAAUUUCACAGGAUUUCCAUCCCACAGCCCAAGCACAUCCUCCCACCCCCCAAACUGUCUCCUCCAGAGACCAUAAGUUUUUCAAUGUCUGUGAGUUCAGCAUCUGUGUGCUUCAUUAAAUGUUGGGCCAUCUAAAACUUCAGCAGCUAGAAAUUUGAUGCUAUCCUUUCAUUCAUUUAGAUAGUUGCUGUGGAACUAUUGGAAGAAUUAAGCCGUACAGUUUUAUACACAAUUUUCCGUUGUCGAAGAAGGUUUAGGUGCAUUUCUUUGUCCUUUAUCCCCACAUCCUAGUGAACUAGGUAGUUUCUAUCCCCAUUCUGCAGGUUCAGAAAUUCAUCCACAGUCAUAUACUUAAUUAAAGGUCAUGUGUUUUGGUCAGUGCUCUCAAGUUCUAUUAUACCCCUAGAACAAAUACCCUUAGGAUUAAUUAGGUGGAGUACUUAAGAGGUCAGUAGUUACUUUUAUGACAUGGCAGAGGAAGGGCUUGGCUUUGCUGUCUUUCUGUUUAGACAGUGAUCACUUGAUUCUGCUGGAAGAGAAAUCAAGGAACGUUUUCUGAGAGAUUAUUUGGGAACAGUAUGAGUUAACUCUGAGUCAAUGGGAUUAUUUGAUGCAACUGCGUGUUUUCCCACCAUUUAGAAUGCUCUUGUAGCCUUUGCUGCUCAGGAAUAUACUCUUCUUCCUUACGUAAAAUAAAUAAGUAAAUAAAUAAAUAAAUAGGCAUAAUUCUGAAAGGCCAUGAAACCACCCCAGAAAUGGUGAAAAUUUGUUCUCCAAACAACUGUAAAUAAAGGGCAGGAAAGGCCUGUCUCCUUUAAGAAAUAUUUACUGUGGCCCUUUUGAAUGGGGGUCAGUGUCAAGAACUCUAGGAAUAACAGAUAUGGAAAGGCAAAGUUCUGCCCUCAAAGAACUUAAUUUUAGUCAAAAUAAAAGACAGCCAUACAAGUAAAAUAGAACAAUGAAAGUGGCAGUUACCUAUGGGAGGUAAGAUGAAAUAGAAUUAGAUUUCUGAAAAGGGAAAGUUCACUUCUGACUACCAGAGAAUCAUGGGAAGCAUGCACAGCCUUAUGGUAUUGACAUUGGAAGGUAGAGAAAAUAGAGAAGAAACUAGAUACCUGAAGUUAGAAGAAACUAGAGAUUGUUAUAGCAAUAGGAGAGAUGGCUUGCACUAGGGCAAUAGCCAAUGGGAAAGGGUCAAGAUGAAGUUAAAAUAAGAAGUACAUGGAAGAUGGAGUUCCCAUUGUGGCUCAGUGGUUAACAAAUCCGACUAGGAACCAUGAAGUUUCAGGUUUUAUCCCUGGCCUUACUCAGUGGGUUGAGGAUCCGGCAUUGCCAUGAGCUGUGGUGUAGUCCAGCAGCUACAAUUCUGAUUAGACCCCUAGCCUGGGAACCUCCAUAUGCCACAGGUGCAGCCCUAGAAAAGAUGGGAAAAAAAAUAAAGAAGUACAUGGAAGAAAGUUUCAUGGAUCUUAACAAUGGAUUGUAUAUGAUAGAUAAGAGAGUAGAGAAUGGUAAAAUUUGGGAGUGAAGUGACCAGAAAGUUAGCAGUUGUAUCAUGCCUAUAGGGAAAUAACAAUGGACAGAGUAUUUCAUAGCAGAAAAAAAAAUAUGACCUACUCAGAAUCAGAUAAUUCAAGAAGGAUAUGUUUUUAGAAGAGUCAUUUCCAUGUGUUUGAGUAUGGGAGCUACAAAGGAUAGUGCAGUAUCGGGGUCUUGAUAGUUCAUUUACACUACUGCGAAACUUAAAGGGGCAAGGGGAAACAACACCUGAACCUAGAAAGGAAGGGGGACAGCCGUACUUCAGUGAGAGACUUCUAGUUGUGGAAAAGGCACAGCCCAAGGAAACCUUCUAGGAAAGAGGAAAAGAGAAUCAAUACCUUGAUGACUUCAUUCUUUUCUCUCCUUGCAACCUCUAUCAGUAAAGCCAACUGGAAACCCAAGGGCAAGGGAGACCUAUUGAUGUGGUCCUUAUCAUCAGCUUCCUAGGGAACAGAGCUGGAGCGGGGAAGAGAAGGGAUUACAUCAGACUGGGCAAACAGAUGGAGAUACAUGAAGGCUUGUCAAUUGUGUGAAACGGGGAAUUGAGCCUGGGUUGGGUCUAGAAGAGUUGUGUGCCCAGUGGUGACACACACACAGUGACAGCCAGAGCCAGACCUUUGGAGAAUGGAUCUAUUUAGAGCAGGUCCUUGGCACUGCUGACAUUUUGAGCCAAGUAAUUCUUUGUUGGUGGGGAUUGUCCUGUGCACUGUGAGGAUGUUUUUUUUAGCGGCAUACUUGGCCUCUGCACACUGGAUGCCAGUAGUUCUCACUUUCCAAGUUGUGACAGUGAAAAAUGUUUCCAGACAUUGCCAAAUGUCCCCUGGUGGGGAGAGGGGGAGAAGGGGAGGUGUACAUCACCCCUAGGGACAACCACCGAUUUAGCAUCUGGAGAAAAAGGCGAUCUAGAGAAUGGGAAGCAUGGAACCAGCAUUCCGAGAGAAGAAAUGGACCCCUAGGGAGUGCAUUGUCCUGAAGGCCCAAUGGAGAGAGAUCGAUGUGGGUGUGGCCCACAGUGCAAAUGAAAGAGAAAAUUCCACACAAGGACCAGAUUCAGCUGAGAGGCAGAAAAGAAUAGAUGAGAUUGCUUCCAGGCUGAACUGGGCAGGUGGCAGAGGGGGGGCAGCAGCAACCAUUGUGGAUCUAAUNNNNNNNNNNNNNNNNNNNCAGGUGGGCUCAUGAUUUGCUUGGGGUGAAGAGACUCCAACAUUUCAGUUGGAUGAGAGCAGCAAGCCAGUGAAAGAGGGAACUCAGAUAAUAGUAAAACUAACACGUACCAAGAGAAUGUGCUGACCCUGUUUAAAGGGCCUCACAUGUGCUAAAGCAUCUGACAUUCACAAGUCCUGGAGGUUGUCAGGGUAGGGGCCUUGGGAUCCCCAUCUGCAGAUGAGACAACCAAGGCACAGAGUAUUCACUUAAAACUCCAGAUCACACAACUUGUAAGUGGCAAAGCAGUUCUUUGUAGCUGUGCUAAAAAGGAGAGAAGACAUUUCAGUG